This 2437-nucleotide long non-coding RNA is filed under the name Homo sapiens (human). RNAcentral's name for it is "long non-coding RNA NONHSAT223548.1". The record is from RNAcentral. Lineage: Eukaryota; Metazoa; Chordata; Mammalia; Primates; Hominidae.
CACCUUGGCCGGAGGCCACACAGACCUGGGGAAAUGUUUUGCCAACGUACUCGCAAUAGUUCCCAUGGUUUCCUUUGCUCCCAGCGGUUGCGCGGGCUGGGUUUUUGGAGCAAAGGCAACGGAUACUGCUGAGGCUCCUGAGAAUGUCCCGUUUUCGAGGCUGCAGUAGCUCCGGUGUCCGGUUCUGCAGUGCCGAGAGGGAGGCCUCGGGCUCCGGGCGGGGGAAUGUGUUGCAGUUUGUCCAAGAGCCCCAAGCCCAGCAAAGCCGCCCGUUCCCCGCUGGGGCGCAACUCUCACUGGAACUCUUGUUCUCUGACUGGGGAAUGGAAUGGGCUCAGCCAAGGCUCCCGAAACCAGCCCUGCCGCUCCCAGUUGUGGUCGCAUUCUCAAGAGCGGCUGACUGCGCCGUGGACCAUCACUUUCGCUUCUGCCUGCUCUUGCGCCUAUUGCGGCAACUACUCACGCUCCUACGGGACGAGGAGAGGGAGGUGAAUCCGUGGCAGAGGAAAAUAAUUAUGAAAAAUAGUAGUCUAGUCAUUCAAGUGAAAGGUCCAAGAAAGGAAGAAAGAAAAAUUUAUCAAAAAGAAAACACAAGAAGUAUUCUGAAGAUAGCGACAGUGACUCUGAUUCUGAAACAGACUCCAGUGAUGAAGACACAAAAAUGAGAGCAAAGACAGCUAAGAAAAAGGAAAAGAAAUGCAGAUGGCCAGAUUUUUUCCUUUAAUUUUUAUUAUGGAAAAGGUCAAAUGUGUAUAAACAUACAUAGAAUGGUAUAAUGAUCCCUCAGGCACGUAGCACCCAGCUUGAACAAUUAACAACUUGUGGGAAAUUGCCAUUGCCCCCUAAUUAAUUUGAAACCAAUCCCAGGUAUAAUGUCAUUUAUAAACAAUUCAGCAUGUUUCUCUAAAAGACUGUUUUCUUUAUUAGUCUGUUUUCACACACCAUAAAGACAUACUUGAGACUGAGUAAUUUAUAAAGAAAAGAGGUAUUGAUUCAUAGUUCUGUAUGGCUUGGGAGGCCUCAGGAAAUUUACAAUCAUGGCGGAAGCCAAAGGGGAAGCAAGGCACAUCUGACAUGGGAGCAGAAGAGAGAGUGAGAAGGGGGAAGCACCAGACACUUUACAGAUAACCAGUUCUCAUGAAAACUCACUCAGUAUCAUGACAACAGCAUGGGGGAAACCCAUCCAUCCAAUUACCUCCCACCAGACCCCUCCCUCCACAUGUGGGGAUUAUAAUACAAGAUGAGAUUUGGGUGGGGACAGAGCCAAACCAUAUCAGAUACACGUUCUUUUUCUAAAAACAUAACUACAAUACCAUUAUCAUGCCUAAAAAAAUUAACAAUAACUCCUCAACUCUCAUCACACUCCAUUUUUAAAUUUUUGUUGUUUUCUAGCCUAGCAGUUUCACAUGAGGAAGACAGCAUAAAGAAAGCCAAGGUCUGACUGCUUCUUUUUGAUGAUCAAUUAAUCUAGAAUAUUAAUCAGGGAACUACCUCCUCCCUCUUGCUUCUAGCAGCACUAAACAAAAGGUUCCCUUUUUGUGUUUUUAUCAUCAGGAACCAGGGUCCUUUCAAGGAGGUUGAAUGAGACAAAAUACAUUUGAAUGCAUGAUUGUCAGCUUCUGAGCUGGGGAAUAUGCAACAAUAUGCCUUCUGGGCUGGGGAUGGGUGAGCAAAGGGAGAACUGCCUCAUUCUGGCUUUGGUAGAGUCUCCUCUUGUGUUUCAUUUGAUGCAGAGGAACUUUGGGCCAGAAUGAUUCCUAUUUCCCUAUGUCCUCCACAGAAAGGGAGGAUAGUGAACAGAAUUUGCAAUAUACUAGAUAGAUGUUUGGCUGCCACCUUCCCAUAAAGCCCUAUGAGUAGCUUCUUCGGAAGAUUCCUUUAGACUACAGGGUUGUGUCUAAGCUCUUCAGCAUAAAUGGAGAUGGGCCCUGUCUUGAAACACACUGUUCUUUUACUAGGGACUUUCCCCACCCCCAUUUUGCAUAUGUAUGUAUGUGAGCCGUACAGGGCGUAUUGGUGAUUGAGGAAUGUCAGCUCAUAAAAUGAGGCUUCCUUGUAAUUCUGUUUAAAUGACUUUUCCUUUGAAAUUCUUAUCCAUACCUUAUUUGGCACACAAAACAGAUAUACAGUUGACCCUUGAACAACACAGGUUAGAGCUGCAUAUGUCCACUUAUAUGUGGAUUUUUUUUCAAUAAAUAGAAUUGGCCCCCCAUAUCCACAGGUUUCACACCUGCAACCAAAUGCAGAUCAAAAAUACAGUAUUCGUGGGAUGCAAAACCUGCAGAUAGGUAAGGCCAACUUUUUGUAUACUUGGAUUCUGCAGGUUCAAGUGUGGGGCUUGAGUAUGCAUGGAUUUUGGUAUCUGCAGGGGUCCUGGGAACCAAUGUUUACAAGGAAUUCACAACUUUUUUUAAAUAAAAAAUGUGCCUUAUAAAAA